RNAcentral lists this ribosomal RNA (349 nucleotides) under Escherichia coli. Its description in RNAcentral is "partial 23S ribosomal RNA". It matches the Rfam family "Bacterial large subunit ribosomal RNA", at positions 561 to 913 of the family's 2925-position model. Lineage: Bacteria; Pseudomonadati; Pseudomonadota; Gammaproteobacteria; Enterobacterales; Enterobacteriaceae. The record is from RNAcentral.
UACGUACAAGCAGUGGGAGCCUCUUUAUGGGGUGACUGCGUACCUUUUGUAUAAUGGGUCAGCGACUUAUAUUCUGUAGCAAGGUUAACCGAAUAGGGGAGCCGAAGGGAAACCGAGUCUUAACUGGGCGUUAAGUUGCAGGGUAUAGACCCGAAACCCGGUGAUCUAGCCAUGAGCAGGUUGAAGGUUGGGUAACACUAACUGGAGGACCGAACCGACUAAUGUUGAAAAAUUAGCGGAUGACUUGUGGCUGGGGGUGAAAGGCCAAUCAAACCGGGAGAUAGCUGGUUCUCCCCGAAAGCUAUUUAGGUAGCGCCUCGUGAAUUCAUCUCCGGGGGUAGAGCACUGU